Molecule: long non-coding RNA, 1371 nt
Filed under: Homo sapiens (human)
Lineage: Eukaryota; Metazoa; Chordata; Mammalia; Primates; Hominidae
Description: HSALNT0399794
Source: RNAcentral
UCAAGAUCCUGAAUGGACUACAUUGUGAUGUCACACCACAGGUCGGGGGUGAGCACAAAAAGGGCUGCAGUGGCUGCUGGCAUCAGGGCACAGGGCAGGGCAGGAGCAAGAGCCUCAGGCCUCUCCAGAAGAAAUCAGCCUGUCUGGGUGCUGUUCUCAGCUGGGGUUGCUGGGAAAGAGUGAGGGAUGUCUGCUGUACAGAAAACAUCAGCCUGGAAGACUGCUUAUGAAUCCACCUGCUGCCACUUGCUGCCACGGUUCCUAUUCUCACCUGGCCUGCGUCAAUUCAGUUAAACCAAGUCCAUCCUUCAUGCAGUUUUCCUGCACAAAGUGACUUCCGUUGGAAUGCGAUGGCGUGAUCUCGGCUCACUGCAACCUCCGCCUCCCGGGUUCAAGCAAUUCUCCUGCCUCAACCUCCAAAGUAACUGGGAUUUACAGGCACCCACCACCACUCCCAGCUAAUUUUUUUGUAUUUUUAGUAGAGAUGGGGUUUCACUUUUUUGGCCAGGCUGGUCUCAAACUCCUGACCUCAGAUGAUCCGCCCAUCCUGGCCUCCCAAAGUGCUGGGAUUAUAGGCAUGACCCACCGUACCCGGCCGGGUACCACACACUUUUAAACAGCCAGCUCUCACAAGAACUCACUAUCAUGAGUACAGCACCAAGACAUUCAUGAGGGAUCUGCCCCCAGGACACAAACACCGCCCACCAGGCCCCACUUCCAACAUUGCAAUCACUUUUCAACGUGAGAUUUGGAGGGGACGAAUAUUCAAACCAUAUCAGUGCCCACAGUGGCAACUGGCUUGCUAACAUACCCCACAUUGUUGCCCCCAUCCCCUGCCUCACUUCCCCGCUCCCCUACCUAUGUUUCCUGGGAUCAAACUGCAAAUAAACUGCUUCCACUCAAAUCCUUGUUUCAGGGUCUGCUUCAGGGGGAACCCAAACUAAGACUUUGUAAAUAAGAAAUGAUGUCUGUUCUUUGUAAGUUCACAUUUAGAUGGAGAAACUAUAUAAAUUGGCUUGGUAUAAUUCAGAAUGUCUGGGAACCGGUGAGUGUCAGGUCUCAGGGCAGAUGGAGGUGUUCUGCUGGUUGGCCUUUGGAGUAUCAUUAGGAAUGUCUUGAGGAAACACAUGAGCUGAUAUGCUCAGGGGGAGGCCUGGCAACCUGGCCCAAAGGCCUUUUCCUCUGCACAGGGAGGCCUGAAUGUGCUACCCCCAGGGGACUGAUUUGCUACACAAAUUCCACCUGCUUUCCAUCUCCCUGGACAAUUCCUCCUGGAAUAAGAAUAUGGAGGUGGAGCUAGCACCAUAUAAAAUAUGGCUCUUGUUCAUGCUUUUGGGGGAGUUUCAGGUGUUUAGAGAAGGCUCGCUAGGG